AGCUGCUCAUUCAACUGGUUAUGACUGCAUUGCCAACUGGCAUAUUUUCGCUCAUAACAUCCAGAAUGACGCCAAAAGAAAAGGUGCCUAUCGUCCACCUCAGCGAUAACUGUACGUGCAAGCGAACUUUAUCAAACAUCGGGCGACACGUUGAGUGAGGCACCACCUA
This 169-nucleotide small RNA is filed under the name Prodigiosinella confusarubida. RNAcentral describes it as "Serratia sp. ATCC 39006 Glm Y RNA activator of glmS mRNA". It matches the Rfam family "Glm Y RNA activator of glmS mRNA". Rfam says of the family: This family consists of a number of bacterial RNA genes of around 167 bases in length. The function of this RNA is unknown. The record is from Rfam by way of RNAcentral. Lineage: Bacteria; Pseudomonadati; Pseudomonadota; Gammaproteobacteria; Enterobacterales; Pectobacteriaceae.